Non-coding RNA from Microcebus murinus (gray mouse lemur), 1131 nucleotides. The record is from RefSeq and is a predicted model, not a curated record. Lineage: Eukaryota; Metazoa; Chordata; Mammalia; Primates; Cheirogaleidae.
CGGGCAGCAGGCCGGGUCUACGCCCAGGUGAACAGCCUGAGGAGCCGCGAGUACUGGGACUAUGAGGCUCACGUCCCGAGCUGGGGUAAUCAAGAUGAUUACCAACUGGUUCGAAAACUUGGUCGAGGAAAAUAUAGUGAAGUAUUUGAGGCCAUUAACAUCACCAACAAUGAGAGAGUGGUUGUAAAAAUACUCAAGCCAGUGAAGAAAAAGAAGAUAAAACGAGAGGUUAAGAUUCUGGAGAAUCUUCGUGGUGGAACAAAUAUCAUUAAGCUGAUUGACACUGUAAAGGACCCUGUGUCAAAGACACCAGCUUUGGUAUUUGAAUAUAUCAAUAAUACAGAUUUUAAGCAACUCUACCAGAUCCUGACAGACUUUGAUAUCCGGUUUUAUAUGUAUGAACUACUUAAAGCUCUGGAUUACUGCCACAGCAAGGGAAUCAUGCACAGGGAUGUGAAACCUCACAAUGUCAUGAUAGAUCACCAACAGAAAAAGCUACGACUGAUAGAUUGGGGUCUGGCAGAGUUCUAUCAUCCUGCUCAGGAGUACAAUGUUCGUGUAGCCUCAAGGUACUUCAAGGGACCAGAGCUCCUUGUGGACUAUCAGAUGUAUGACUAUAGCUUGGACAUGUGGAGUUUGGGCUGUAUGUUAGCAAGCAUGAUCUUUCGAAAGGAACCCUUCUUCCAUGGACAGGACAACUAUGACCAGCUUGUUCGCAUUGCCAAGGUUCUGGGUACAGAUGAGCUGUAUGGGUAUCUGAAGAAGUAUCACAUAGACCUAGAUCCACACUUCAACGAUAUCCUGGGACAACAUUCACGGAAACGCUGGGAAAACUUUAUCCAUAGUGAGAACAGACACCUUGUCAGCCCCGAAGCCCUAGAUCUUCUGGACAAACUUCUGCGAUACGACCAUCAACAGAGAUUGACUGCCAAAGAGGCUAUGGAGCACCCAUACUUCUACCCUGUGGUGAAGGAGCAGUCCCAGCCUUGAGCAGACAAUGCUGUGCUUCCCAGUGGUCUCACGGCAGCACGAUGAAGACUGGAAAGCGACGGGUAAUGCGGCAUUGAUGCUUGCCAAUAAAACCAACCAACCAGACACAAAUCUUGAAGGAAAACUACAGUGUGAUAAAAA